GAAGCCACCCUUUUUCACUCCACCACCUCCGGUCAGCCACUUCCGGCGGCAUUCUGGCGACUUUUCCGGCCAGUAAAGGUGCUCCAACCUUGAAACCAACAACCACACUUCAUUUGUUUAAGAAAAAGAAGGAUUAAGGUACAAGUGUGGUUCUUGAACCAAUUCAAGAGGAGGCUUGGAAUUCUUGAGUUGGUGGAACUAACAAGGUUUAAGGUGAGACAGGAUCUAGUGCACAGGCUGCGGAUCAGCA
Tripterygium wilfordii is the source of this 250-nucleotide long non-coding RNA. RefSeq lists it as uncharacterized. The record is from RefSeq and is a predicted model, not a curated record. The transcript is spliced from 3 exons. Lineage: Eukaryota; Viridiplantae; Streptophyta; Magnoliopsida; Celastrales; Celastraceae.